GUAGGCUGGUUUUCCAGGCAAAUCCGGAAAACUAAGGCUGAGGCGUGAUGACGAGGCACUACGGUGCUGAAGCAACAAAUGCCCUGCUUCCAGGAAAAGCCUCUAAGCAUCAGGUAACAUCAAAUCGUACCCCAAACCGACACAGGUGGUCAGGUAGAGAAUACCAAGGCGCUUGAGAGAACUCGGGUGAAGGAACUAGGCAAAAUGGUGCCGUAACUUCGGGAGAAGGCACGCUGAUAUGUAGGUGAAGUCCCUCGCGGAUGGAGCUGAAAUCAGUCGAAGAUACCAGCUGGCUGCAACUGUUUAUUAAAAACACAGCACUGUGCAAACACGAAAGUGGACGUAUACGGUGUGACGCCUGCCCGGUGCCGGAAGGUUAAUUGAUGGGGUCAGCGCAAGCGAAGCUCUUGAUCGAAGCCCCGGUAAACGGCGGCCGUAACUAUAACGGUCCUAAGGUAGCGAAAUUCCUUGUCGGGUAAGUUCCGACCUGCACGAAUGGCGUAAUGAUGGCCAGGCUGUCUCCACCCGAGACUCAGUGAAAUUGAACUCGCUGUGAAGAUGCAGUGUACCCGCGGCAAGACGGAAAGACCCCGUGAACCUUUACUAUAGCUUGACACUGAACAUUGAGCCUUGAUGUGUAGGAUAGGUGGGAGGCUUUGAAGUGUGGACGCCAGUCUGCAUGGAGCCGACCUUGAAAUACCACCCUUUAAUGUUUGAUGUUCUAACGUUGACCCGUAAUCCGGGUUGCGGACAGUGUCUGGUGGGUAGUUUGACUGGGGCGGUCUCCUCCUAAAGAGUAACGGAGGAGCACGAAGGUUGGCUAAUCCUGGUCGGACAUCAGGAGGUUAGUGCAAUGGCAUAAGCCAGCUUGACUGCGAGCGUGACGGCGCGAGCAGGUGCGAAAGCAGGUCAUAGUGAUCCGGUGGUUCUGAAUGGAAGGGCCAUCGCUCAACGGAUAAAAGGUACUCCGGGGAUAACAGGCUGAUACCGCCCAAGAGUUCAUAUCGACGGCGGUGUUUGGCACCUCGAUGUCGGCUCAUCACAUCCUGGGGCUGAAGUAGGUCCCAAGGGUAUGGCUGUUCGCCAUUUAAAGUGGUACGCGAGCUGGGUUUAGAACGUCGUGAGACAGUUCGGUCCCUAUCUGCCGUGGGCGCUGGAGAACUGAGGGGGGCUGCUCCUAGUACGAGAGGACCGGAGUGGACGCAUCACUGGUGUUCGGGUUGUCAUGCCAAUGGCACUGCCCGGUAGCUAAAUGCGGAAGAGAUAAGUGCUGAAAGCAUCUAAGCACGAAACUUGCCCCGAGAUGAGUUCUCCCUGACUCCUUGAGAGUCCUGAAGGAACGUUGAAG
This 1348-nucleotide ribosomal RNA is filed under the name Escherichia coli. RNAcentral's name for it is "partial 23S ribosomal RNA". It matches the Rfam family "Bacterial large subunit ribosomal RNA", at positions 1520 to 2843 of the family's 2925-position model. The record is from RNAcentral. Lineage: Bacteria; Pseudomonadati; Pseudomonadota; Gammaproteobacteria; Enterobacterales; Enterobacteriaceae.